Non-coding RNA from Paramuricea clavata, 843 nucleotides. The record is from the annotation of a GenBank genome assembly. Lineage: Eukaryota; Metazoa; Cnidaria; Anthozoa; Malacalcyonacea; Plexauridae.
UUGUCUGAUGUCACCAACCUUUACAUUAAUUUGCUUUAAACAUAUGGUGCAGGCUACAGUUAAAUCCAUCUGGAUUAAAUUAGACAAUUCUACAUUAUUUAGGGUCAUUAAUAAAUACACCUUUCUAGUUCAAUUCAUUAAAUAAUUUGUCUAAUGUCUCUGCUGAUUUUUCUUGUACUUACAAUUUUCAGCGUUGCCUCGGGGUCGAGGAAUUUGCUAAUAGCGAAUAAAAAAUGACAAAUCCCUGGGAUUUUGCCCGGCCGGGGGGGGGGCAUUCCCUUUAAAAUUGGGGCCAUUCCAUUUAAAAUUUACACCCCCCUGUUGAAGAGGUUACUGAUUUUAGACCCCUUCGGAAACGGUUUUCCGGACGACCCCUCAGAAAUUCGCUGUAGAAUCCCUUCGGAAAUUUUUUGUAGAAAAAAAAAGAAGUCUUCGGAAAUUUACGAUUUUUUCUCAAGCCCCUCGGAAAUACCUGUUGACGUGGGUUCCAUUACGAUAGACCCCCUCGGAAAUUUUCGGGAAUUUAUUUUUGACCUCCCUCGGAAAUUUUCGUGAACAGGUAGUGCCUUCCUCCUUGCCCCCCUCGGAAAAAUAUUUUGACCCCUUGGAAAAUUAAAAAAUAAUUUUUAUCCCUUCAGAAAUUUUCCUUUUACAACCCCCUCAGAAAUUUCAACUUUGCAUCUCUCAGAAAUUCAGAAUUUUAGACCCCCUUCGAAAAAUCUCGUCAACAGGGGGGCAGGGUCUUAGCUAGGAUUUUAGAUCUUGGGCGUGUUUCUAAUGACCAGGGCGUGCACAUGUCAAUUACCUUGAAUAGCAAAAUCACGGUUCUAGUUAUGCUCACCA